GACGAACGCUGGCGGCGUGCUUAACACAUGCAAGUCGAACGGAAAGGCCCUGCUUUUGUGGGGUGCUCGAGUGGCGAACGGGUGAGUAACACGUGAGUAACCUGCCCUUGACUUUGGGAUAACUUCAGGAAACUGGGGCUAAUACCGGAUAGGAGCUCCUGCUGCAUGGUGGGGGUUGGAAAGUUUCGGCGGUUGGGGAUGGACUCGCGGCUUAUCAGCUUGUUGGUGGGGUAGUGGCUUACCAAGGCUUUGACGGGUAGCCGGCCUGGGAGGGUGACCGGCCACAUUGGGCCUGCGAUACGGCCCAGACUCCUACGGGAGGCAGAAGUGGGGAAUAUUGCCCAAUGGGCGGAAGCCUGAUGCAGCAGCGCCGCGUUCGUGAUGACGGCCUUCGGGUUGUAAACCGCUUUCGCCUGUGACGAAGCGUGAGUGACGGUACUGGGUAAAGAAGCACCGGCUAACUACGUG
This 468-nucleotide ribosomal RNA is filed under the name uncultured bacterium. Its description in RNAcentral is "partial 16S ribosomal RNA". It matches the Rfam family "Bacterial small subunit ribosomal RNA", at positions 28 to 507 of the family's 1533-position model. The record is from RNAcentral.